GAUGAACGCUGGCGGCGUGCCUAAUACAUGCCAGUCGAGCGAACGGACGAGAAGCUUGCUUCUCUGAUGUUAGCGGCGGACGGGUGAGUAACACGUGGAUAACCUACCUAUAAGACUGGGAUAACUUCGGGAAACCGGAGCUAAUACCGGAUAAUAUUUUGAACCGCAUGGUUCAAAAGUGAAAGACGGUCUUGCUGUCACUUAUAGAUGGAUCCGCGCUGCAUUAGCUAGUUGGUAAGGUAACGGCUUACCAAGGCAACGAUGCAUAGCCGACCUGAGAGGGUGAUCGGCCACACUGGAACUGAGACACGGUCCAGACUCCUACGGGAGGCAGCAGUAGGGAAUCUUCCGCAAUGGGCGAAAGCCUGACGGAGCAACGCCGCGUGAGUGAUGAAGGUCUUCGGAUCGUAAAACUCUGUUAUUAGGGAAGAACAGAUGUGUAAGUAACUGUGCACAUCUUGACGGUACCUAAUCAGAAAGCCACGGCUAACUACGU
This 496-nucleotide ribosomal RNA is filed under the name uncultured bacterium. RNAcentral's name for it is "partial 16S ribosomal RNA". It matches the Rfam family "Bacterial small subunit ribosomal RNA", at positions 28 to 506 of the family's 1533-position model. The record is from RNAcentral.